AAUACAUGCAAGUCGAGGGGUAGAACACUUCGGUGUUUGAGACCGGCGCACGGGUGCGUAACGCGUAUGCAAUCUACCUUAUACAGGGGAAUAGCCCAGAGAAAUUUGGAUUAAUGCCCCAUAGUGUUAUAGAAUCGCAUGGUUUUAUAACUAAAGUUCCAACGGUAUAAGAUAAGCAUGCGUCCCAUUAGUUAGUUGGUAAGGUAACGGCUUACCAAGACAAUGAUGGGUAGGGGUCCUGAGAGGGAGAUCCCCCACACUGGUACUGAGACACGGACCAGACUCCUACGGGAGGCAGCAGUGAGGAAUAUUGGUCAAUGGGCGCAAGCCUGAACCAGCCAUGCCGCGUGCAGGAAGAAGCAUCUAUGGUGUGUAAACUGCUUUUAUACAGGAAGAAACACCUCCACGUGUGGAGGCUUGACGGUACUGUAGGAAUAAGGAUCGGCUAACUCCGUGCCAGCAGCCGCGGUAAUACGGAGGAUCCAAGCGUUAUCCGGAAUCAUUGGGUUUAAAGGGUCCGUAGGCGGUCUUAUAAGUCAGUGGUGAAAGCCCAUCGCUCAACGAUGGAACUGCCAUUGAUACUGUAAGACUUGAGUUUUUGUGAAGUAACUAGAAUAUGUAGUGUAGCGGUGAAAUGCUUAGAUAUUACAUGGAAUACCAAUCGCGAAGGCAGGUUACUAACAAACGAUUGACGCUGAUGGACGAAAGCGUGGGGAGCGAACAGGAUUAGAUACCCUGGUAGUCCACGCCGUAAACGAUGGAUACUAGCUGUUGGGAGCAAUCUCAGUGGCUAAGCGAAAGUGAUAAGUAUCCCACCUGGGGAGUACGCACGCAAGUGUGAAACUCAAAGGAAUUGACGGGGGCCCGCACAAGCGGUGGAGCAUGUGGUCUAAUUCGAUGAUACGCGAGGAACCUUACCAAGGCUUAAAUGUAGAUUGACAGGACUGGAAACAGUUUUUUCUUCGGACAAUUUACAAGGUGCUGCAUGGUUGUCGUCAGCUCGUGCCGUGAGGUGUCAGGUUAAGUCCUAUAACGAGCGCAACCCCUGUUGUUAGUUGCCAGCGAGUCAUGUCGGGAACUCUAACAAGACUGCCAGUGUAAACUGUGAGGAAGGUGGGGAUGACGUCAAAUCAUCACGGCCCUUACGCCUUGGGCCACACACGUGCUACAAUGGGCGGUACAGAGAGCAGCCACUACGUGAGUAGGAGCGGAUCUAUAAAACCGUUCUCAGUUCGGAUCGGAGUCUGCAACUCGACUCCGUGAAGCUGGAAUCGCUAGUAAUCGGAUAUCAGCCAUGAUCCGGUGAAUACGUUCCCGGGCCUUGUACACACCGCCCGUCAAGCCAUGGAAGCUGGGGGUGCCUGAAGAUGGUGAC
RNAcentral lists this ribosomal RNA (1375 nucleotides) under uncultured bacterium BS3. Its description in RNAcentral is "bacterial SSU rRNA". It matches the Rfam family "Bacterial small subunit ribosomal RNA". Lineage: Bacteria; Pseudomonadati; Bacteroidota. The record is from RNAcentral.